RNAcentral lists this ribosomal RNA (484 nucleotides) under uncultured bacterium. RNAcentral describes it as "partial 16S ribosomal RNA". It matches the Rfam family "Bacterial small subunit ribosomal RNA", at positions 29 to 507 of the family's 1533-position model. The record is from RNAcentral.
AUUGAACGCUGGCGGAAUGCUUUACACAUGCAAGUCGAGCGGCAGCGCGGCCUUCGGGCUGGCGGCGAGCGGCGAACGGGUGAGUAAUGCAUCGGAACAUGCCCAGUCGUGGGGGAUAACACUUCGAAAGAAGUGCUAAUACCGCAUACGUCCUGAGGGGGAAAGCGGGGGAUCGCAAGACCUCGCGCGAUUGGAGUGGCCGAUGUCAGAUUAGCUAGUUGGUGGGGUAAAGGCCUACCAAGGCGACGAUCUGUAGCUGGUCUGAGAGGAUGAUCAGCCACACUGGGACUGAGACGCGGCCCAGACUCCUACGGGAGGCAGCAGUGGGGAAUUUUGGACAAUGGGGGCAACCCUGAUCCAGCCAUUCCGCGUGAGUGAAGAAGGCCUUCGGGUUGUAAAGCUCUUUCGGCAGGAACGAAACGGUGGGCUCUAACAUAGUCCGCUAAUGACGGUACCUGAAGAAGAAGCACCGGCUAACUACGUG